UGGGGAAUAUUGGACAAUGGGCGCAAGCCUGAUCCAGCAACGCCGCGUGGAGGAUGAAGGUCUUCGGAUCGUAAACUCCUGUCAGAUGGGACGAAGACAGUGGGGUGAACAAUCCCGCUGUUUGACGGUACCAUCAGAGGAAGCCCCGGCUAACUCCGUGCCAGCAGCCGCGGUAAUACGGAGGGGGCGAGCGUUACGUAAAGGGCGCGUAGGCGGCCCGGUAAGUCAAAGGUGAAAUCCCUCGGCUCAACUGAGGAACUGCCUUUGAAACUGUCGGGCUUGAGGCCGGGAGGGGGUAGCGGAAUUCCCAGUGUAGCGGUGAAAUGCGUAGAUAUUGGGAGGAACACCAGUGGCGAAGGCGGCUACCUGGACCGGUUCUGACGCUGAUGCGCGAAAGCGUGGGUAGCAAACAG
This 413-nucleotide ribosomal RNA is filed under the name uncultured bacterium. Its description in RNAcentral is "bacterial SSU rRNA". It matches the Rfam family "Bacterial small subunit ribosomal RNA", at positions 355 to 775 of the family's 1533-position model. The record is from RNAcentral.